RNAcentral lists this ribosomal RNA (1530 nucleotides) under Triticum aestivum (bread wheat). RNAcentral describes it as "partial small subunit ribosomal RNA". The record is from RNAcentral. Lineage: Eukaryota; Viridiplantae; Streptophyta; Magnoliopsida; Poales; Poaceae.
UACUCUACAAAGAACAUGUAGACCACAAGAAAUGUAUAAUCACACAACAUCGUCUAAAUCACUGUUUAAUUUCAGUAGGACCUCGUAACUAUAUUAAUGUAAACGAGUAAAAAACAAUACACAAAACAAAUCUCCUUAACGAAGACAUGAACUGUCUAAUCCUCGACCACAAUCCAAAGUGACCUAGUUAAAAAUCGAGAACAAAGAACUCCAGACGUCUCCAAUCUCCUCAUUAAUCAGAAGAUACAAAGAGAUUACUCACACACAGACCUACGUAUGUAUAUCAUCUCCUCGUUAAUGGUAGACCUACACGUAUUUAAUAAGAAGCAAUAAAACGCUCAUGUACACCUACACGUAUUUCACAAGAGAGAAAAAAAUUGCUCAUAUACACUAUGUAUCUUUUACAUAUACCACCAAAGGUAAGACCUAAUAGACCGACCAUGUACCUCGAAUAAAUUAAAAGGUGAUAAUACCGUAAUAGACAUGACGAACUGUAUAGUACGGGGGAAUGAAGGAAGCACUGGAGGGUGAUGAAGUAGAUGACUUUACUAAUCCGCUUAGAGCAAAAAAGAUCGUAAUUUGGACGUUUCUUUGCUUUAGAAGAGGCCUCGUUAAUCAUAAGAGACAAAAGGAUUGUUCACAUACACUUGAGUAAGUCUGUCAUCUCCUUAUCAAUGGUAAGAGAAACACAAAAUCGUUCAUAUACACCUACGUGUAGUUCACAAGAGACAAAAAUUACCCAAUAUACAACUACGUAUCUUUUACAUCAUGUACCUCGGAUAAAUCAAACAGACUUGUUAUUAUGAAUAAGUGUCUAAAACAAUCGAACGAAGUUUUAAAUAAUUAGGUCAAUACCACACCAACGGAUAAUGAGUUCUACUAAAGUAUAAUCGAAGUCUCCUGUACAUACAACGCAUAGGAAAACGGAUGACUCGUGUGUGUUUCUUUACAAAGAUAGCUAUAGUAAUUGACUUUGUAUAAGGUAAAAACUAGUUAACCACCUAGACUGAUUAUAUCUAUAUAACAUUCUCUAUAAUAAGUGCACGGUAAAAGAAUAAAGCUCAUUCGAACUUUGACUACCAGAGUCAACCAAACACGUAACUGAAAGAAGCCUUGGACCUAGAUCUCUUUGAUUCAUCUCCCAGCGGAAAACACGUCCUUAAACGUCGUCCAGACUAGGGAACGCGCACGAGGAGGCGAACAGGAGUGGGAGAGCUGGGAGGGGAACGAGUAGCGGUAGGUAAAAUAAGUCUCACAUCUACCGCCCGUUUUGUGGAUUCGAGGUCUCGUUCCUACUUUCGUGAGGUAUGUGUGGGCGUUCCUACUACUAGGUAGACAAAGAUCCUACCACCCUGAACUCCGUACGUGGUCUUAGUUCCUAGUCGAUGAACUACUUUUAUAUGUCCUCUGAGAGGAUGAGUUGUACUGCAAUUUUUUUCUUAGUUCCUAGUCAAGUUACCCUUAACCUUACUACUUUUGUGAACAAACUCGUGUACACUAGGAGUAUUAUCGUAUAAACAUUAUUUAGUA